This 161-nucleotide transfer RNA is filed under the name Enterococcus faecalis PC1.1. RNAcentral's name for it is "tRNA-Trp". The stretch from base 87 to 157 matches the Rfam family "tRNA". Lineage: Bacteria; Bacillati; Bacillota; Bacilli; Lactobacillales; Enterococcaceae. The record is from RNAcentral.
UGGAGGAAUAGCGAAGUGGCUAAACGCGACGGACUGUAAAUCCGUUCCUUAGGGUUCAGUGGUUCGAAUCCACUUUCCUCCAUUUUAGGGGCAUAGUUUAAAGGUAGAACAACGGUCUCCAAAACCGUUGGUGUGGGUUCAAUUCCUGCUGCCCCUGCCAU